GACGAACGCUGGCGGCGUGCCUAAUACAUGCAAGUCGAACGAGAGCGACCGGUGCUUGCACUGGUCAAUCUAGUGGCGAACGGGUGAGUAACACGUGGGUAACCUGCCCAUCAGAGGGGGAUAACAUCCGGAAACGGAUGCUAAAACCGCAUAGGUUUUCGAGCCGCAUGGCUUGAAGAGGAAAAGAGGCGCAAGCUUCUGCUGAUGGAUGGACCCGCGGUGCAUUAGCUAGUUGGUGAGGUAACGGCUCACCAAGGCCGUGAUGCAUAGCCGACCUGAGAGGGUGAUCGGCCACAUUGGGACUGAGACACGGCCCAAACUCCUACGGGAGGCAGCAGUAGGGAAUCUUCCGCAAUGGACGCAAGUCUGACGGAGCAACGCCGCGUGAGUGAAGAAGGUUUUCGGAUCGUAAAACUCUGUUGUUAGAGAAGAACAAGUGCUAGAGUAACUGUUAGCGCCUUGACGGUAUCUAACCAGAAAGCCACGGCUAACUACGUG
RNAcentral lists this ribosomal RNA (498 nucleotides) under uncultured bacterium. RNAcentral's name for it is "partial 16S ribosomal RNA". It matches the Rfam family "Bacterial small subunit ribosomal RNA", at positions 28 to 507 of the family's 1533-position model. The record is from RNAcentral.